GUAAGCUAAAUAUUUAUAUUAAGUACAUCCUCAAUUCUAUAAAUUAAUCAAACAUGUAAUGAGUAACAAACAUUGACAUUAAAUAAAUUAGAAAGAUAUGUAUUGAACAUCAAAAUUAAUUAAAUAUAUACUUAUAUCCUUAAGAACAUAAAAUGUCAUCUUCUAUAUUCUGAUAAUUAAACAAUUAACAUAAGUUAUACAGAUUAAAAAAUAUGCUAAAAUACUAAUUAUAAGUAGAAAAUGAAAAAGAAAAAAAGAAAAAAGAAUAAUUACAAGAAAAUGAAAAAGAAAAAAAGAAAAUAGAAUAAUUACAAGAAAAUGAAAAUGAGACCGUAUGUUAUAAAGGAAACCAACUCAAUCAUUUUUCCAGUGUUACAUUAGCACCACCUUUAUUAUUGUGAGAUCCUCAUAAUCCUAACAAACAUCUCAAUCUCAUCAAAACAAUACGAAAAACCCUAUCAUAAUCAUUGGUGAUGCAAGAAUAAAAUUUAAAAUAAGAGGAAACACAGAUGAAUAGAGUGACAAAAUAAACAAGUUAGAGAUGUGUAACCUUCAAAAGAUUAACCUAUAUCAGAAAUCAAUUGUUCCGUACAUUUGAUAGAUAAGAAAGAAAAUUACUCAUAAAAGAUAGAAAAAAAAGGAAAAUAUGACAAUUUUUCAGCAGUACGUAUUUUUUUACCCUUUUUAUUUUGUUUAUACAAUCAUAAACUGAUUAUGAACCAUAGAUUUCUAUUAAGUAAUGUAAGCUAAAUAUUUAUAUUAAGUACAUCGUCAAUUCUAUAAAUCAAUCAAACAUGUAAUGAGUAACAAACAUUAACAUUUAAUAAAUUAGAAAGAUAUGUAUUGAACAUCAAAAUUAAUUAAAUAUAUACUUAUAUCCUUAAGAACAUAAAAUGUCAUCUUCUAUAUUCUGAUAAUUAAAAAAUUAACAUAAGUUACACAGAUUAAAAAAUAUGCUAAAAUACUAAUUAUAAGUAGAAAAUGAAAAAGAAAAAAGAGAAAAGAAUAAUUACAAGAAAAUGAAAAAGAAAAAAGGAAAAUAGAACAAUUAGAAGAAAAUGAAAAUGAGACUGUAUGUAUUAAAGGAAACCAACUCAAUCAUUUUUCCAGUGUUACAUUAGCACCACCUGUAUUAUUGUGAGAUCCUCAUAAUCCUAACAAACAUCUCAAUCUCAUCAAAACAAUACGAAAAACCCUAUCAUAANUUGUAACCUCAAGAGGUCAACCUAUAUCCAAGACAUCCACCGGAUUAUCUUACCAUUUGGCUGGGUAUAAGAAUUGAAAACUUACCUCAUAAAAUAGGAAAGAAAAGAAAAAUAUGUAAUUUUUCAGUCUUAGUCGAAUUGUUUUUACCCUUUUAUUUGUAUUUUUAUACCCAAUCAUAAAUGAAUACGCUGAACCAAGAGAUUUCUAUUAAAUAAUGUUAUACCCUUAAAAAAUUUCAUUAAGUAACAUCCCCAAUUUAUCCAAAUCAAUAAAAUACAAAACAUGUAUGAGUAAAACAUUGAGAUUAAAUAGGUUUAGAAGAAGAUAUGUAUUGAACAUUAAAAAUUAAUUUAAAAUAACUAUACUUAUAUCCCUUAAAGCAAUCAUAAAAUGAAAAUCUUCCUAUAUCUGAUAAUUUAAACAAUUAACAUAAUAUAACGAUUAAAAAUAUGCUAAAAUAUAAUAUAAGCUUAGGCGGCGAGUAGAAAUGAAAAAGAAAAAAGCGCAAUAAUUUACUAAAGAAAAUGAAAAAGAAAAAAGAAAUAGAGUAAUUACAAGAAAAUGAAAUAUUGUAAGACCUGAUAUUAGAAACAACUCUCCAAUCCAUUUUUAGUGUUACUUAAGCCACCACCCGUAUUAUUGUGAGAUCUCAUAAUCCUAAACAAACAUCUCAAUCUCAUCAAAACAAUAUGAAAAACCUAUUUUAAUCAAUUGUGGUGUGCUGACGCACCCGCAUAAAGAGGAUAAACUUGAAAAAGAGAAACACAGAUGAAUAAGUCGGACAAAUAAAAUAGUAGAGAUGUUGUAACCUCAAAAGAUCAAUCCUUAUCAAGGAAAGAAAUCAGUUUAUCCUUUAACAUUUGAUAGAUUAAGAAUGAAAUUAGCAUAAAACGAUAGAAAAAACAAGAAAUUAUUACAAUGUUUCCAGCAAUACGUAUUUUUUUACCCUUUGAUGAUUUUACAAUCAUGAACUGAAUAUGAAACAGAGAUUUCUAUUAAAUAAUGUAGAGGGUGGCAAUAUUUCUGGGAAUAAGUACAUCCUCUCCUGGCGAGUGAUAAACAUGAUCAAACAUGUGAUUGUAGUUGGGCAUGGAGUAACGAAUAACCUACACAUAAUUAGUUGAGGAAAGAUAGUAUGUGGGUAACAUCAAAUAUAUUAAAUACAAUCAUACUAUGUGAAUCCUUAAUACAUAAAAUGUGACUUCGAUAGUCUCUAAUAAUAUUAAUAAACAUAAGUCUACAGAUUAAAAAUAUGAAAAAACUAAUUAUAAGUAGAAAAUGAAAAAAGAAAAAAUAAAAAUCAGAAUAAUUACAACCAAUUUAAAAUGACUACCGUUAUGCGUAUAAAGGAAACCAACUCAAUACGUUUUAUCAAACAGUGUGUUACACUACCCACGUUUUUUUGUGAGAUCCUUCAUAAUCCUUAACAAAAAUUUCUCACAUCUCCAUCAAAAAAACAAUAGAAAAAACCCUAUCAUAAUCAUUGUGAUGCAAAGAAAUAAAAUUUGAAAUUAGAGGAAACACAAAUGAUAGAGUGACAAAAUAAACAGUUAGAGAUGAUAUAACCUUCAAGAUUAACCAUUAUCAGAAUCACCUUGGGGGGGGGGGAUCCGUACAUUUGGUAGAUAGAAAAAAAUUACUCAUAAUAAGAUAGAAAAAAAGGAAAAUAUUGACAAUUUUUCAGCAUUCCGUAUUUUUUUACCCUUUGUAUUUGUUUUAUAAAUCUAAACUGCUUAAACCAUAGUAUUUCUAUAAGUAAUGUAAGCUAAAUAUUUUUAUUAUUAAGUACAUCCUCAAUUCUAUAAAUUAAUCAAACAUGUAAUGAGUAACAAAACAUUGACAUUAAAUAAAUUAAGAAAGUUUGAACAUCAAAAUUAAUUAAAUAUUACUUAUAUCCUUAAGACAUAAAAUUGUCAUCAUCUAUAUUCUGAUAUUAAAAAUUGAACAUAAGUUACACAGAUUAAAAAAAAUAUUGCUAAAAUCACUAAUUUAAGUAGAAAAUAAAAGAAAAGAAAAGAAUAAUUACAAGAAAAUGAAAAAGAAAAAGGAAAAUAGAACAAUUAGAAGAAAAUGAAAAUGCGACUUUAUGUUAUAAAGGAAACAAAAUCAAUCAUUUCAAGUGUACAUUAGACCACUUGUAUUUAUUGUGAGAUCUCAUAAUCCGAACAAACAUCGCAAUCUCAUCAAAUAAUAACGAAAAAACCCUAUCUAAUCAUUGGUGACGCCAAGAAUAAAAUGGAAAAUAAAGAGGAAACACAGAUGAAAUGGGUGACAAAAUAAAAAGGUAGAAUUGUGUAACCUUCAAAAAGGAUCAACCUAUAUCAGAAAUCACUGAUCUGUAAUUUGAUACCAUAAGAAUGAAAAAUUACUCAUAAAAGAUAGCAAAGAAAAAGAAAUAUUGACAAUUUCCAGCAGUACGUAUUCUUUUUUUUUUGUACCCUUUGUAUUUUGUUUAUACAAUCAUUAAGUGAAUCUGAACAGAGACUUCUCUAUUAAUAAUGUUAAGCAAAUAUUUUAAGUUAAGUACAUCCCCAUUCUAUACAAAAUUUCAAACAUGUAAUGAGUAAAAACAUUGAGAUUAUAUAGUUUAGAAAAGAUAUGUAUUGAACAUUCAAAAUUAAUUCGAAUUAUAUAUAUCCUUAAGAACAUAAAAUGUCCCAUCUUCUUAUAUUCUGAUAAUCAAAAACAAUUAACAUAAGUUAUACUGAUUAAAAAAUAUGCUAAAAUACUAAUUUAUAAGUAGAAAAUGAAGAAGAAAAAAAAAAGCAUAAUUACAAGAAACUGAAAAAGAAAAAAAAGAAAAUAUAAUAAUUACGAAGAAAAUGAAAAUUGAGUACUGUAUGGAUUAGGAAACCAACUCAAUCAUUUUUCCAGUGUUACAUUAGCACCACCUGUAUUAUUGUGAGAUCCUCAUAAUCCUAACAAAACAUUCUCAAUCUCAUUCAAAAAGCAAUACGAAAAAACCUUUCAUAAUCAUGGUGAGCAAUAAGUAAUUGAAAUAGAGGAAACACAGAUGAUGAAUAGGGUGACAAAUAAAAAAGGUAGAGAUGUUGUAACCUUCAAAAGAUCAAACCUAUAUCAGGAAAUCAAUUACAUUUGAUAGAUAAGAAUGAACAGAUUACUCAUAAGAUUAGAAAAAAUAAAGGAAUUAUUACAAUUUCUCUGCAGUACGUUAUUUUUUUUACCCUGUAUAUUGUUUAUACAAUCAUAAAGUGAUAUGAACCAGAGAUUUCUAUUAAAAUAAUGUAAGCUAAAUAUUUCUAUAAGUUUACAUCCUCACAUUAUAUAUAUCAAUCAACAUGGUGAAUGAGUAAACAAACCUUGACAUUAAUUAGUUUAGAAAGAUAUGUAUUUAACAUCAAAAUUAAUUUAAAUAUAUACUUAUAUCCUAAGAAACAAAAAAUGUCCAUCUUCUAUAUUCUGAUAAUGAAUUAAUUAACAUAAGUUCUACAGAUUAAAAAAUAUGAUAAAAUACUAAUUAAAGUAGGAAAAUGAAAAGAAAAAUAAAUAGAUUUAAUUACAAGAAAAUGAAAGAAAAAAGAAAAUAAAUAAACAACAAAUUUUAAAAUGAGACCGUAUUGUUUAAAGGGAAACCAACUCAAUAAGUUUUCCAGUGUUACACUAGCACCCUUAUUAUUGUGAAGAUCCUGCAUAACGCUAACAAGAAAAUCUCAAUCUCAUCAAAACAAUAGAAAAACCCUAGUCAUAAUCAUUGGUCGAUGCAAAGAAUAAAAUUGAAAAUAACAGGAAACACAAUAAUAGCAAGUGACAAAAUAAAACCAAGUUAGAGAUGUAUAACCUUCAAAAAUUAAACCUAUACCAGAAAUCACUUGAUCCUUACAUUUGGGUAGAUAAGAAAGAAAUUACUCAUAAAAGAUAAAAAAAAAAAGGAAAAUUAUGACAAUUUUUCAGGCAGUACGUAUUUGUUUACCCUUUUUUAUUUUGUUAUACAAUCUAAACUGAUUAAUGAACCAUAGAUUUCUAUUAAGUAAUGUAAGCCUAAUAUUUAUAUUAAGUACAAUUCCUCAUAUUCAAUAAUUAAAUUCAAACAAUGUAAUGAGUAACAAACAUUGACAUUGAAAUAAAUUAGAAAGAUAUGGUAUUGAACACAAAAUAAAUUAAAUAUAUACUUAUACUCUUAAGAACAUUAAAAUGUCAUCUUCUUAUAUUCUGAUAAUUAAACAAUACUAACAUAGUUACACAGAUUAAAAUAUGCUAAAAUAACGAAUUAUAAGUAGGAAAUGAAAAAGAAAAAAAAAAAAAGAAUAAUUACAAGAAAAUGAAAAAGAAAAAAGGAAAAUAGAAACAAUUAGAAGAAAAUGAAAAAUGAGGCUUUAUGUAUUAAGGAAAAACCCAACUCAAUCAUUUUUCAAGUGUACAUAGCACCACUUGUAUUAUUGUGAAUCACUCAAUCCUAACAAAACAUCUCAAUCUCAUCAAAAUAAUUACGAAAAAAAACCCGAUCAUAAUUCAUUGGUGACGACAAGAAAUUAAAAUUGAAAAUAAGAGGAACACAGUGAAUAGGGUGGACAAAAUAAAAAGGGUAUUAGAUGUGUAAACCUUCAAAAGAUCAACCGAUGAUCAGAAAUUCACUUUUGAUCGUACCUUUGAUACAAAAAGAAUGAAGAUUAUCAUAAAAGAUAGAAAGAAAAAGAAAAUAUAGACAAUUUUUCAGUAUACGUAUUUUUUUUCCCUUUGUUUUUGUUAUAUUACAAUCUAAAGUGAAUCCUGAACACAGAGAUUUCUAUUAAAUAAUGUAAGCUAAAUAUUUUAUUAAAAGUUACAUCCCCAUUUCUAUAAUAACAAACAUGUAAUGAGUAAAAAACAUUGAGAUUAAAUAGUGAAAGAUAUGUAUGUGAACUCAAAAAGUUAAUUCAAUAUCAUACUUACUAUUCCUUAAGAACAUAAAAUGUCAUCUUCUAUAUUCUGAUAAUUAAAACAAUUAACAUAAGUUAUACUGAUAAAAAAAUAUGCUAAAAAUACUAAUUAUAAGUAGAAAUGAAACAGAAAAAAAAGAAUAAUUACAGGAAAUGAAAAAGAAAAAAAGAAAUAGAAUAAUUACAGAAAACUGAAAAUGAGAUGUGAUGUAUUAAAGAGAAACUCAAUCAAUUUUUCCAGUGUUACAUUGCACCACCUUGUAUUAUUGUGAGAUCCUCAUUUCCUAACAAACAUCUCAAUCUUCAUCAAAACAAUCGAAAACCUUAUCAUAAUCUUGUGACGCAGAAUAAAAUUGGAAAAUAAGGAGGAAAACACAGAUGAAUAGGGUGACAAAAUAAAAAAAGGUAGAGAUGUGUAACCUUCAAAAGAUCAACCUAUAUCAGAAUCAUUUGAUCUGACAUUUGAAGAUAAGAAUGAAUUACUCAUAAAAGAUAGGAAAAAAAUAAGGAUUAUUACAAUUUUGCCGGCAGUACGGAUUUUUUACCCCUUUGUAUAUUGUUUAUACCCAAUCAUAAGUAAAUAUGAAACCAGAGAUUUCCUAUUAUUCAAUUAGUUUACUUCAUCAUAAUAUAAUAAUAUAUUAUCUUUUCCUCAUAAUUUCUUUACUCACAAUCGAUUAUAAAUAAUGUAAGUCUAAAUAUUUCUAACAAGUACAUCCUCAAUUAUAUAUAUCAAUCAAACAUGUAAAUGUAGUAACAAUCCUUGACAUAAAAUUAGUUUAGAAAGAUAUGUAUUUAACAUUCAAAAUUAAUUAAACAUAUAGACUUAUAUCCUAGAACAGUAAAAUGUCAUCUUCUAUUUUCUAUUUUAAUUAAUAAUUAACAUAAGUUCUACAGAUUAAAAAAUUAUGUAAAAUACUAAUUAUAAGUAGAAAAUGAAAAGAAAAAAAUAAAAUAGAUUAAUUACCAGAAAUGAAAAAGAAAAAAAGAAAAUAGAAUAUAAACAACAAAUUUAAAUGAGACCGUCAUGUAUUUAUAAAGAAACCAACUCAAUAAAGGUUCCCAGUUGUUACACUAGCACGCACGUUUUUAUUGUGAGAUCCUCAUAACGCUAACAAACAUCUCAAUCUCAUCAAAAAUACGAAAAACUCCCUAUCAGUAAAUCAUUGGUGAUGCAAGAAUAUUUGAAAAUACAGGAAAACACAAAUGGAAUAGAGUGACAAAAGUAAACAAAGUUAAGGAGAUGUAUAAACCUUCAAAAGAUUUAAACCUAUACCAGAAAUCACUUGAUCCGUACAUUUGGUAGAUAAGAAAGGAAAAAUUACUCAUAAAGAUAGAAAAAAAAAAGGAAAAAUAUUUGACCAAUUUUUUUCAGCAGUACGUAUAUUUUUACCCUUUUUAUUUGUUUAUACAAUCAUAAACAUGAUUAUGAACCAUAGAUUUCUAUUAAGUAAUGUAAGCCAAUAUUUAUAUUAAGGUACAUCGUCAAUUCUAUAAAUUCAAUCGAAACAUUAAUUGAGUAACAACAUUUAACAUUUAAUAAAAUUAGAAGAUAUCUAUUGACAUCAAAAUUAAUUAAAUAUAUUUCUUAUAUCUUAAGAACAUAAAAUGUCAUCUUCUAUAUUCUGAUAUUAAAAAUUAACAUAAGUUACACAGAUUAAAAAAUAUGCUAAAAUACUAAUUAUAAGUAGAAAAUGAAAAAGAAAAAAAGAGAAAAGAAUAAUUACAAGAAAAAUUGAAAAAGAAAAAAGGAAAUGAACAGGAUUAGAAGAAAAUGAAAAUGAGACUGGUAUGUAUUAAAGGAAAACGAUCAAUCAUUUUUCCAUGUUACAUAGCACCACCUUGUAUUAUUGUAGAUCCUCAUAAUCCUAACAAAAUCUCCAAUCUCAUCAAAACAUACCAAAAACCCUAUCAUAAUCAUUGGCUGACGCAAGAUAAAAUUGAAAAUAAGAGAAACACAGAUGAAUAGGGUAGUUUAGAAAGAUAUGUAUUGAACAUCAAAAUUAAUUAAAUAUAUACUUAUAUCCUUAAGAACAUAAAAUGUCAUCUUCUAUAUUCUGAUAAUUAAACAAUUAACAUAAGUUAUACUGAUUAAAAAAAUGCUAAAAUACUAAUUAUAAGUAGAUAAUGAAAAAGAAAAAAAGAAAAUAGAAUAAUAACAACAAAUUUAAAAUAAGACCGUAUGGUAUAAAGGAAACCAACUCAAUCCGUUUUCCAGUGUUACACUAGCACCACGUUUAUUAUUGUGAGAUCCUCAUAAUCCUAACAAAAAUCUUAAUCUCAUCAAAACAAUACGAAAAACCCUAUCAUAAUCAUUGGUGAUGCAAGAAUAAAAUUGAAAAUAACAGGAAACACAAAUGAAUAGAGUUAAAAAAUAAACAAGUUAGAGAUGUCUAACCUUCAAAAGAUUAACCUAUAUCAGACAUCACUUGGUCCAUACAUUUGAUAGAUAAGAAAGAAAAUUACUCAUAAAAGAUAGAAAAAAAAGGAAAAUAUGACAAUUUUUCAGCAGUACGUAUUUUUUUAACCUUUGUAUUUUGUUUAUACAAUCAUAAACUGAUUAUGAACCAGAGAUUUCUAUUAUGUAAUGUAAGCUAAAUAUUUGGAUUAAGUACAUCCUCAAUUAUAUAAAUCAAUCAAACAUGUAAUGAGUAACAAACAUUGACAUUAAGUAGUAUAGAAAGGUAUGUAUUGAACAUCAAAAUCAAUUAAAUAUAUACUUAUAUCCUUAAGAACAUAAAAUGUCAUCUUCUAUAUUCUGAUAAUUAAACAAUUAACAUAAGUUAUAAAAUUAAAAAUAUGCUAAAAUACUAAUUAUAAGUAGAAAAUGAAAAAGAAAAAAGAAAAAAGAAUAAUUACAAGAAAAUGAAAAAGAAAAAAAGAAAAAAGAAUAAUUACAAGAAAAUGAAAAUGAGACUGGAUUUAUUAAAGGAAACCAACUCAAUCAUUUUUCUAGUGUUAUAUUAGCACCACCUGUAUUAUUGUGAGAUCCUCAUAAUCCUAACAAACAUCUCAAUCUCAUCAAAACAAUACGAAAAGCCCUAUCAUAAUCAUUGGUGACGCAAGAAUAAAAUUGAAAAUAAGAGGAAACACAAAUGAAUAGGGUGACAAAAUAAAAAAGGUAGAGAUGUGUAACCUUCAAAAGAUCAACCUAUAUCAGAAUUCACUUGAUCUGUAUAUUUGAUAGAUAAGAAUGAAAAUUACUCAUAAAUGAUAGAAAAAAAAAUAAAAUAUGACAAUUUUUCAGCAAUACGUAUUUUUUUACCCUUUGUAUUUUGUUUAUACAAUCAUCAAGUGAAUAUGAACCAGAGAUUUCUAUUAAAUAAUGUAAGCUAAAUUUUCUUCAUUAAGUACAUCCCCAAUUAUAUAAAUCAAUCAAACAUGUAAUGAGUAAAAAACAUUGACAUUAAAUAGUUUAGAAAGAUAUGUAUUGAUCAUCAAAAUUAAUUAAAUAUAUACUUAUAUCCUUAAGAACAUAAAAUGUAAUCUUCUCUAUUCUGAUAAUAAUUAUAAGUAGAAAAUGGAAAAGAAAAAAGAAAAAAGUAUAAUUACAAGAAAAUGAAAAAGAUAAAAAGAAAAAAUAGAAUAAUUACAAGAAAAUGAAAAUGAGACUGUAUGUAUUAAAAAAAACCAACUCAAUCAUUUUUCCAGUGUUACAAUAGCACCACCUGUAUUAUUGUAAGAUCCUCAUAAUCCUAACAAACAUCUCAAUCUCAUCAAAACAAUACGAAAAACCCUAUCAUAAUCAUUGGUGACGCAAGAAUAAAAUUGGAAAUAAGAGGAAACACAGAUGAAUAGGGUGACAAAAUAAAAAGGGUAGAGAUGUGUAAUUGGAAAUAAGAGGAAACACAGAUGAAUAGGGUGACAAAAUAAAAAGGGUAGAGAUGUGUAACCUUCAAAAGAUCAACCUAUAUCAGAAAUCACUUGAUCCAAACAUUUGAUAGAUGAGAAUGAAAGCUACUCAUAAAAGAUAGAAAAAAAAAAGAAAAUAUGACAAUUAUCCAGCAGUACAUAUUUUUUUUGUUUAUACAAUCAUAAAGUGAAUAUGAACCAAAGAUUUCCAUUAAAUAAUGUAAGCUAAAUAUUUUCAUUAAGUACAUCCCCAAUUAUAUAAAUCAGUCAAACAUGUAAUGAGUAAAAACAUUGACAUUAAAUAGUUUAGAAAGAUAUGUAUUGAACAUCAAAAUUAAUUAAAUAUAUACUUGUAUCCUUAAGAACAUAAAAUGUCAUCUUUUAUAUUCUGAUAAUUAAACAAUUACCAUAAGUUAUACUGAUUAAAAAUAAUGCUAACAUACUAAUUAUAAGUAGAAAAUGAAAAAGAAAAAAAGAAAAUAGAAUAAUAACAACAAAUUUAAAAUGUAAUGAGUAACAAACAUUGACCUUAAUUAGUUUAGGAAGAUAUGUAUUGAACAUCAAAAUUAAUUAAAUAUAUACUUAUAUCCUUAAGAACAUAAAAUGUCAUCUUCUAUAUUCUGAUAAUUAAACAAUUAACAUAAGUUAUAAUGAUUAAAAAAUAAGCUAAAAUACCAAUUAUAAGUAGAAAAUGAAAAAGAAAAAAAGAAAAUAGAAUAAUUACAAGAAAAUGAAAAAGAAAAAAAAACAAAAUAGAAUAACUACAAGAAAUUUAAAAUGAGACCGUAUGGUAUAAAGGAAACCAACUCAAUCAGUUUUCCAGUGUUACACUAGCACCACGUUUAUUAUUGUGAGAUCCUCAUAAUCCUAACAAAAAUCUCAAUCUCAUCAAAACAAUACGAAAAACCCUAUCAUAAUCAUUGGUGAUGCAAGAAUAAAAUUGAAAAUAAUAGGAAACACAAAUGAAUAGAGUGACAAAAUAAACAAGUUAGAGAUAUGUAACCUUCAAAAUAUUAACCUAUAUCAGAAAUCACUUGAUCCGUACAUUUCAUAGAUAAGAAAGAAAAUUACUCAUAAAAGAUAGAAAAAAAAGGAAAAUAUGACAAUUUUACAGCAGUACGUAUUUUUUUACCCUUUGUAUUUUGUUUAUACAAUCAUAAAGUGAUUAUGAACUAGAGAUUUUUAUUAAUUAAUGUAAGCUAAAUAUUUCUAUUAAGUACAUCCUCAAUGAUAUAAAUCAAUAAAACAUGUAAUGAGUAACAAACAUUAGCAUUAAAUAGUUUAGAAAGAUAUGUAUUGAACAUAAAAAUUAAAUAAAUAUAUACUUAUAUCCUUAAGAACAUAAAAUGUCAUCUUCUAUAUUCUGAUAAUGAAACAAUUAACAUAAGUUAUACAGAUUAAAAAAUAUGCUAAAAUACUAAUUAUAAGUAGAAAAUGAAAAAGAAAAAAAGAAAAUAGAAUAAUUACAAGAAAAUGAAGAAGAAAAAAAGAAAAUAGAAUAAUUACAAGAAAAUGAAGAAGAAAAAAAGAAAAUAGAAAAAUUACAAGAAAAUGAAAAUGAGACAGUAUGUAUUAAAGGAAACCAACUCAAUCAUUUUUCCAAUGUUACAUUAGCACCAUCUGUAUUAUUAUGAGAUCCUCACAAUCCUAGCGAACAUCUCAAUCUCAUCAAAACAAUACGAAAAACCCUAUCAUAAUCAUUGGUGACGCAAGAAUAAAAUUGAAAAUAAGAGGAAACACAUAUGAAUAGGGUGACAAAAUAAAAAAGGUAGAGAUGUGUAACGUUCAAAAGAUCAACCUAUAUCAGAAAUCACUUGUUCUGUACAUUUGAUAGAUCAGAAUGAAAAUUACUCAUAAAAGAUAGAAAAAGAAAAGAAAAUAUGACAAUUUUACAGCAGUACGUAUUUUUUUACCCUUUGUAUUUUGUUUAUACAAUCAUAAAGUGAAUACGAACCAGAGAUUUCUAUUAAAUAAUGUAAGCUAAAUAUUUUCAUUAAGUACAUCCCCAAUUAUAUAAAUCAAUAAAACAUGUAAUGAGUAAAAAACAUUGGCAUUAAAUAGUUUAGAAAGAUAUGUAUUGAACAUCAAAAUUAAUUAAAUAUAUAGUUAUAUCCUUAAGAACAUAAAAUGUCAUCUUCUAUAUUCUGAUAAUUAAAAAAUUAACAUCAGUUAUACAGAUUAAAAAAUAUGCUAAAAUACUAAUUAUAAGUAGAAAAUGAAAAAGAAAAAAAGAAAAAAGAAUAAUUACAAGAAAAUGAAAAUCUAAAAAAGGAAAUAGUAUAAUUACAAGAAAAUGAAAAUGAGACCGUAUGGUAUAAAGGAAACCAACUCAAUCAGUUUUCCAGUGUUACGCUAGCACCACCUUUAUUAUUUUGAGAUCCUCAUAAUCCUAACAAAUAUCUCAAUCUCAUCAAAACAAUACAAAAA
This 12362-nucleotide long non-coding RNA is filed under the name Lathyrus oleraceus (garden pea). RNAcentral's name for it is "Pisum sativum (pea) long non-coding RNA (PSAT_LNC040106)". The record is from RNAcentral. Lineage: Eukaryota; Viridiplantae; Streptophyta; Magnoliopsida; Fabales; Fabaceae.